AAGGCUUCUGAGAAGAGUGGAGAACUCAGCAGCCAAAAGGCAAAAGCCUACAUAAAAGAGAUUUUGCACAGUAUUUUCUUCCUUGGAUACAUAAGCUCUCCAUCCAUUUGUCCAUCUGAAAUUUUGGGUGAAAAAAUCGCAUCACGCCUGGAAAAAAUAUAUCCAGAUGUGUUUGAGGGGUACCGAACCAAGCUGCCCCUGAGACCCCCCUACUCAGUUCUUCUUGAUGCGGUUGUUGAAACAAAGGGAGAUGAAAGAGUCCAUGAAAUCCUGCAGGAGCUGCUGAAACUGAAUGAAGCAAUGGCUGUCCCUAAAGAUGACGGCGAAGAAUGUGGAAAUGUUUUCUGUUUUGCAUCAACUGUUGUGAGUUUCUGCUAUUUUGAAGAUGACCAAACCAAAGAAAAAACCAGGAACUACUUUGGUGGCUCCAUUGCAUGCAGACGCCGUCCUAAUCUGAGGAACAUCUUCCUUGAUCUGUCCUGCAUUGAAACAUGGAAUCGUAAGGUGGCCUUGGGUGUGUGUUUGGCUGACGCAGGUGAAAAGUCAAUAUUGCUUCCAAAGACUGUGCGCUCGGCGGCUUUUCACAUGUUGAAUGACAAGAAAGACGAAGAUCGCAAUGGAGAAACACAGGUUAUAACCAUAGAGAGGUCAGGCCCUGCCGAGACAGGGAAUAACAGUGGCCAGACACCAGCCCAGAGAUACACCCCAUGGCCUCCAUGUAAGAGAUGUGUGGACAUUUUCCCAGAUGUAGAAUUCAGCCCUUCAGGGAUGGUAGCAGCUCAUUGGAAGCAUGGAAACUGUGCUGAAUGUGAGGCUAUAAGUAAGCUCCUCAACGGGGAGGACGUCGUUGAUGAACGAGUUAAGAAUUCUGAACGUCCCGAUGAGGAUUUAACUGACGAUUCUGUAAGGGCCCGUCUCAAACCUCUGCUCCAGGAAAAAAUAGAAAGACUGAAGCAUAGUCUGAAAUCUGCCAGGUUCAGCCUCAACGAAGACUUUGUAUUUUACUGUCCAUAGUCCACCCACAGUGAUGCAUUUCAGCUACUUCUAUGGCCUGUUUCCAUGGCCACAAAGACUUUUAUGUUAUUUAGGAAAAAAUGUCCUUUUGCUUCCAUUUUAAUAUUACAGUUACUGG
Megalops cyprinoides (Indo-Pacific tarpon) is the source of this 1132-nucleotide long non-coding RNA. RefSeq lists it as uncharacterized. The transcript has 3 exons. The record is from RefSeq and is a predicted model, not a curated record. NCBI's taxonomy places the organism in Eukaryota, Metazoa, Chordata, Actinopteri, Elopiformes, Megalopidae.